This is a transfer RNA of Camelus ferus (Wild Bactrian camel), 74 nucleotides long. It matches the Rfam family "tRNA". Rfam says of the family: Transfer RNA (tRNA) molecules are approximately 80 nucleotides in length. Their secondary structure includes four short double-helical elements and three loops (D, anti-codon, and T loops). NCBI's taxonomy places the organism in Eukaryota, Metazoa, Chordata, Mammalia, Artiodactyla, Camelidae. The record is from Rfam.
GGGAGGGUCCAGCUCAGUGGUAGAGCGCGUGCUCAGCAUGCACGAGGUCCUGGGUUCAAUAUCCGGUACUUCCA